This 121-nucleotide ribosomal RNA is filed under the name Fusobacterium necrophorum. Its description in RNAcentral is "partial 23S ribosomal RNA". It matches the Rfam family "Bacterial large subunit ribosomal RNA", at positions 2791 to 2925 of the family's 2925-position model. The record is from RNAcentral. Lineage: Bacteria; Fusobacteriati; Fusobacteriota; Fusobacteriia; Fusobacteriales; Fusobacteriaceae.
AACUAGCUUCAAGAUAAGUAUUCUACGAGGAAGCUUCGAGAACAGGAGCUGGAUAGGUUGGGGGUGUACGCGCAGUAAUGUGUUUAGCUGACCAAUACUAAUCGAACGAAAUUUUAAUCGG